RNAcentral lists this ribosomal RNA (445 nucleotides) under uncultured bacterium. RNAcentral describes it as "partial 16S ribosomal RNA". It matches the Rfam family "Bacterial small subunit ribosomal RNA", at positions 354 to 796 of the family's 1533-position model. The record is from RNAcentral.
GUGAGGAAUAUUGGUCAAUGGGCGAGAGCCAGAACCAGCCAAGUCGCGUGAAGGAAGAAGGAUCUAUGGUUCGUAAACUUCUUUUGCAGGGGAAUAAAGUGCGGGACGUGUCCUGUUUUGUAUGUACCCUGAGAAUAAGGAUCGGCUAACUCCGUGCCAGCAGCCGCGGUAAUACGGAGGAUCCGAGCGUUAUCCGGAUUUAUUGGGUUUAAAGGGUGCGUAGGUGGUUUGAUAAGUCAGCGGUGAAAGUUUGCAGCUUAACUGUAAAAAUGCCGUUGAAACUGUCGGACUUGAGUGUAAAUGAGGUAGGCGGAAUGCGUGGUGUAGCGGUGAAAUGCAUAGAUAUCACGCAGAACUCCGAUUGCGAAGGCAGCUUACUAAGCUACAACUGACACUGAAGCACGAAAGCGUGGGGAUCAAACAGGAUUAGAUACACGAGUAGUCC